Molecule: ribosomal RNA, 279 nt
Filed under: uncultured bacterium
Lineage: Bacteria
Description: partial 16S ribosomal RNA
Rfam family: Bacterial small subunit ribosomal RNA
Source: RNAcentral
UGCCAGCCGCCGCGGUAACACGAACCGUACGAACGUUAUUCGGAAUCACUGGGCUUAAAGAGUGCGUAGGCGGCUUUACAGGUGGGGUGUGAAAGCCCACGGCUCAACCGUGGAAUUGCGCCCCAAACCGUAAGGCUUGAGGGAGAUAGAGGUGAGCGGAACUGAUGGUGGAGCGGUGAAAUGCGUUGAUAUCAUCAGGAACACCAGUGGCGAAGGCGGCUUUCUGGACCGAUACUGACGCUGAGACGCGAAAGCGUGGGGAGCAAACAGGAUUAGAUA